RNAcentral lists this ribosomal RNA (531 nucleotides) under Saccharomyces cerevisiae (brewer's yeast). Its description in RNAcentral is "partial large subunit ribosomal RNA". It matches the Rfam family "Eukaryotic large subunit ribosomal RNA", at positions 76 to 611 of the family's 3401-position model. Lineage: Eukaryota; Fungi; Ascomycota; Saccharomycetes; Saccharomycetales; Saccharomycetaceae. The record is from RNAcentral.
UGCCUUAGUACGGCGAGUGAAGCGGCAAAAGCUCAAAUUUGAAAUCUGGUACCUUCGGUGCCCGAGUUGUAAUUUGGAGAGGGCAACUUUGGGGCCGUUCCUUGUCUAUGUUCCUUGGAACAGGACGUCAUAGAGGGUGAGAAUCCCGUGUGGCGAGGAGUGCGGUUCUUUGUAAAGUGCCUUCGAAGAGUCGAGUUGUUUGGGAAUGCAGCUCUAAGUGGGUGGUAAAUUCCAUCUAAAGCUAAAUAUUGGCGAGAGACCGAUAGCGAACAAGUACAGUGAUGGAAAGAUGAAAAGAACUUUGAAAAGAGAGUGAAAAAGUACGUGAAAUUGUUGAAAGGGAAGGGCAUUUGAUCAGACAUGGUGUUUUGUGCCCUCUGCUCCUUGUGGGUAGGGGAAUCUCGCAUUUCACUGGGCCAGCAUCAGUUUUGGUGGCAGGAUAAAUCCAUAGGAAUGUAGCUUGCCUCGGUAAGUAUUAUAGCCUGUGGGAAUACUGCCAGCUGGGACUGAGGACUGCGACGUAAGUCAAGG